AUGCCUUUGCCGGCCCGCGGGACAGGUGGGAGCGCCUCCCACACCCACCCUCCUCCCACUGCCACAUGCUGUCGUGUUCUUGCUCUUUGGGAAACCGAGCAAAACUGUCUUUCAGUGUCCCCAACCCACUCGGCAACCCUCAGCACCCCACCCCCACAUCAUCUUUGGGGACACCCCCGGAGACCCGCACCUUCCCAGGCAGUUUCUGGGCUAGCGCCGCUCCCAGACGGCGAUGUGGAAAGCACCCGGUGGCUGUGGCCAGCUCCCCCGGCCUGUGGGGCUGUGACUUCUGGGCCAGGGCAGGACGGCGCCCUCUUUGCACAUCUGUCGGCCCCUCGUUUCGUCCUCUCUCCCGUGAGGCCCUGGGUGACUGGGAUCCUCUUUCCUUGUGCUUUUUCUGUGUUUCUCUUGGCGAGCAAACAAAUGGCCGUGUCUACGGGGGUGGGGCCGUGGGCUGAUGGCCUGCCCGAGGGCUGGCUGGAAGACGGGAACUCUGUGGGGACAGGGCUGCGUCCCCCGCCACAGCAGGAGGCUGCUUCUCGCGGCCGGGCGCGUGGCCUCCCUGGACCUCGUGGCCGACCCUCCUCGGCUUCCCCAUCCCGUGUCCUCCCGGGGGCUUUGCCCACAGCUGACACUCCGGCUCACGGUGGAGGCCAGGGGCCCCCUGGGGACUGGCAGGCCCGGGGAGGAGGGAGGGCCAAGGCACCCGGACGCGGCCACCCUGCCCAGAGAGGGCCGGAGGAGGGCGCGAGGCCCCGGGGGAGGGUUCCGGGACCCGUCCUGGUUCCCGCUCUGCUCACGGCUUGCCCGAGGCCGCCCUGGGAUCUGCUGCUUGCUCGGUGUCUGCGGGGAGGGCUCCAGGCUGGGGUCUGGGUCUGGGAGGCAGUGUCUGCCCCGCCCACUCCAGGGUCAGGCCUGAUGCAGUGUAGGCCUCGUGCCGGUGUUGGGGGGGGGGCUCUGGCAGGGGCUGGACCCCCUCUGCUGGGUGCCUUGGGGGUCCCUGUCUCCUCCCCGAUGAGGUGGCCGGCUCCUCCAACCUGCUCAGGGUUCUGCACGGAGCAGGUGCGCGGUGAACACUGUCGAGGCGCGUGGCCACCGCCCGGUCCCAGGGGAGGAGGGGCCCGGCUCCCUGGAAAGACAGGGCCGUGUAGACCAAAGAACUCCGAGCGUUCGCCCGGCUCCUCCUGCGUGCUGGCCCAGGGGUGGAGGGGAUCGGCCUCCACGCUGCCCACCUCCUUUGGGCUGGGUGUGCCUCCUCCCCUGUCCCAGGCGAGACUGCCAACCCCACCUGCUUUACAGAAUUUCCUCAAGAGUCUGGAGACGGCUGGUGUCCGGGCAGAAAAAGAGGGAGCCAAGGCAGGCGGUUGGUGGUCAGCUCCCCUCGGGGCUCCUGGCAUCCAGGGAAAAGGGGACACCUCUGUGGGGACACCUGGGGGGACACCUCUGUGGAGACACCUCUGUGGGGACGGGGACACCUGA
RNAcentral lists this long non-coding RNA (1479 nucleotides) under Felis catus (domestic cat). RNAcentral's name for it is "lncRNA (ENSFCAG00000047142.1)". Lineage: Eukaryota; Metazoa; Chordata; Mammalia; Carnivora; Felidae. The record is from RNAcentral.